ACUUGAAAAUCUCAUUUACU
RNAcentral lists this small nuclear RNA (20 nucleotides) under Arabidopsis thaliana (thale cress). RNAcentral's name for it is "snRNA_08437". Lineage: Eukaryota; Viridiplantae; Streptophyta; Magnoliopsida; Brassicales; Brassicaceae. The record is from RNAcentral.